GAGCCAGUGCCAAAGAAAAUGUAUCUAGGUAGUCCUUAUGAACAUCCUUGCUCCUCUGCCAGGGGUUGGUUGGGAGGCAGCUCCCAGGAAAGAGGUCAGUAAUGGAACAGAAGUGUUCCACCUGAAAGUGGGAGCACUGCUGGAAGGGGUGAGAUGCUCUUUCCAGUCCCUAACAGCAGAACUGCUGCUUUGUUCAGUCAGUCACCUGCAUUUCAUACAGUUCAUGUCCUGUUAGAUUCUGACUCCUGAGGAAACUCAGAUGCUGCUCAGCAGUAAUGUGGAGAGUAUGUCCUGUGCUUUGGGGGGUGCAUAGCAGCUGGGCUGUGGCUUUUCCUCCUUCAAUCACCUGAGGCAUUAGAAUGGCUUUCCAGCUGCUCAAAACCACCAAAAAUUGGCACUGUGGAAAUAAAGAUGUUGCACAGAGGGGCAAUGGUUACCAGCAUAAAAGUGUACCUAAGAUGCAUACAGUGCUAUGGCACUGUGUGUGUAUGAACGCCCUAGAUCUCUGUAAAAGUAAAAAAACCAAAACCCAUAAACUGAGAUUAUACUUCAACAAGAGAAGUCAUGGCUUCACUAAGUGGAAGUAAAUUAAAUUAUACUGCAUAAAGGCUUUAGCACAUGUGCACAUCAGCUCCACACAGCCACCUUCUGCUAUAGGAAGAAAUAAAAAGCACCCCAGUGGUGGAUAAAACAGGUUAGUGCCUCAGGGGAGCUGUCAGCCUGUGGGGGGAGGAGGCACGAUCACAUCAAACCCCUCCUGAAGUAAGGUGGCAUGGCAGCCCAAGAGGUGGUUGCAGAGCAAUGAUGAGGGAAAGAAGGGCAUUACCUGCUGUCAGCUCCUGACUCCAUGGAUGUGCUUUAUUCCUGCCCCUGGCUUCCCUUAUUCUACCACCACGCAAGGCACUGGGAUGUUCCAUGAGUGCUCCCUGCUAUAUUUUAGAAGUUGGAUGCUUCUAAGCAUAGUCUGUAGCAGCCCCUGCUGCCCUUGUCUCCUCACCUUUGCUUCAGGCAAGGGAGAGAAAAGAAUCCCACAGAACUUCCUUGAGCAUUCCUUGAUGGUUGCAAAAUCCUUUUAUUGAAGAGGGAUGUUAUUUUGAAAGUGUACAAAAGUCCAAAGUGAGAAAUGGGAUCCGUUCCUAUUGCACUCUGCAGCCAACCUGCAUGGAGCUGCUGAUUGCUGACCCUGAAAAGGAGUGACUGCCAGCUGUACACAGAAGCAGCGUCACUUUGGUGGUGCCACCUCAUACAGCUAAUGUCAAGACAGUGUGCAGCCAACACACUGAGAAUUCCUCUGAAGUGCUAUAAAAUUCCCUUAAGAGUAGCUGGCUUUAAGCAGCUCUUUGCCAGACCUCAGAAAAACCAAGCAGCAGCAUCCAGGUACACAGCUACAGAAUAUGGUGCUGCUGUUGACGUGUUCUUUUGCUGACAUCAACAAGGUGUAGGGGGGGCGGGUACAGGAUAGUCUUCUGCAACUCAGCAUAAUGCAGAGCCUGUCCUACUGUAGCAGUAGUCAGCCUUGGUACGGCCUUAUGCCCUUUUUCUUCCUCAGUGCUUCUACACAUACUUAACUCUUGAGAAAUGCCUGCCUCUAUGCUCGUUGCUCAGCUUGAAGGCUACUUGUAGGCACAUCUGGUUGUCGAGAUGGUGUUUGUUCUGUUUUUCUACUACAGCUGACAGCAGUCAGCUACCACUGUUUGCAGCUGCCACUACAUCAAGCAGUUUAGGUGCUGUAACCCUAAACAUCACAAACCAGCAGCGUGACAAAGGAAGUAGUACUAUUUCAUUAUUAUUGCAGUCUUCACACUUGUCUGUUAGCAGUGCAUUUAACAAGCAGCAGUACACGAACCCAGCACAGGAAUUUCUAGGGAGCUACAGCAGUCCCUCCCUCUGCUGCAUUCCACAGUUCAGGAGAUCUGAAAAGCCCUUCUUUCAGGGGAAGUACCCACUUCUUCCUGCAGUAAUACAUUUAAGCCACAGCAUUCUGUGCUGAUCCAGAACUGGAUCAACGAGUCUCCCUUUUUAAGGGCUUUGGGUUAAAGUCUAAGCAAAUCCUUUCCUGCUCAGACAAGACCAACUGCCUCAGCAAACUCUCACUCAAAACAUAAAUUGGUUUAAACUCAAUUCUAAGAACAGAUGCUUUCAGACAUUAUUAUUGAAAGCAGCAGCUGUGGAGCAGUUUUGUGACCAAAACCCCUUACUGCCAACGUACGGUUUCACAGAAAGAUGUGCUCUUCUACUUGGUUUCUGUUCCUCCUGCAAAUUUUGCCAUAUUCCUGUUUCCUACUGCAAGGCGUGCUGUUAUCAGCAGGCCAGCUCUCUGCAAACUGUCAGAAUAAAAACCCACUCCAGCCAAUACCAUCACUGCCAACUUGCUCUUCCAGAGAUCAGCACCAUAUUCUGAGAUAACAAAUACAUGAAGACACUGAUGUUACCCGGUCUAUUGUCAGGCUCUAACGACGCAGGCUGCGUCUUUACAGAAAGCCGUUCCCGCAUUACUGCGUGGUCACAAGCUUUACAAUCAUACCAAUGAUCCGAGACCCGCGGGGGCACAUGCAUAAAUCCAUGCUGGGAUUCUUGAUUUUAUCCUGCAGCAACUGGUCGAGUUCACAGCGCAGCUCUUUCACCAGCUCAGCCACCUGGCACGUACAGUACAACACACACGUGAGCGCAAAGCUCCUGAAAUGCACCUCCUCCCCCCUUUCAAACACGGGCACACGCACAGAGCUCUGCAGCGUGCCCAGCAUUAUCCCUUGUCAUUACCUGGUGAGAGGCUGCCACAAACCGUAUCCACCCGUCAUCGAGGGAAAUGACAAACUCGCCCUUCUGUAGCUGCAUGUGAACCUGCCCGCCUCCCAGCAGGACCAGUGGGUACACUGACACCAUGCUGCAGUCUCGAAUGAACACGCGGCUGGUCUUAAUCUUCUCGUGGUACACCAGGUAGGGGCUCUCAAAGUGCCUGGUCUGCAGUGGUAGAGCCCAAAAGACUGUGGUUAAACACAAAGAACACGUAUACCUCCCUCCUUACAGCAUCCCGCUUGUAGCCCGCUCAGGCAAAUAUGAGAUUGCAUGCAAGAGCUGCAAGGAACAGCAAACAUACCCGCGCAUUUUGCAGACUCUUCAAGCCAUGACAGCUGCCCUCAACUUUGCCAGUUAUCCCUGCUCCUACCCCCUCUGCAGUGAGCUUGUCACACAUCAGCUGAUAACCAACUUCACUUCAAGGCCCCCAGCUCUCUUUUCCACACUACAGAUUUUCAUGUACAUACUUGUUACGCUCUUCUAAAAGCAAGUGACUGAACAGUGCAAAGCCUUUAAAGCCUCAUUUGCAGUUAAUGAUAAGAGCCCCACACUUAAAGCAAGUAAUUUACUACCUGGAAAAGCACAGAAUCAUCAAAUAUGGAGGCAAACCCCAUUAGAAAAGUGCUACCAUCUAUCGCGGUACGGAGAAGAGCUCUUAUCUAAAAAUGAUUAUUAAGGCAGCCUGUAUGUACAAAGACACUGCAUGCACACUAUCUUAAGAGCAAGGAGAAGCUGGGAGUGCCACAACUGCGUGUGUGUGUGCAGCUUUGUAGACACAGCAAAACAUUGACGGGGGGUCACUUCGUCUUCUAAUUCCACUUCAAAGGGCGGAGUUUAACUCUGUGCUCACGAGCAGUGCACCCUUAUUUAUCAACAGGGAAACUUCAAUCACCAAGCAUUUUUUUUCCUUAAGCUUCAAAAGGGUCCCUCACUUCUCAUCUGUUCAGGGAAAGGCGAUUUCUUUUUUAAGAAAAGAACGUUUGUUUGAAGGAAAAGAAAAAGAAUCCUGACCUGAUAAUUCACAGAUGAAGGGUGAAUGUGAACAUAACCAUCAUUUUUUGUGACAAACUUCAGCUCUUCCGCUUUUGGCUGCAUUUUGACAGCUCCUGUGCUGGUCUUCUGAUAUUUGCCCUCUGGCUUUUUCACCUGUAUGGUGCAAGACAAAAAGUUACAAAAAUCUGCUGUACCCGAAUACUGAAUUCACUGUUAGAACUUAGGUUUUAUCAUCAGCAGAUUCUCAAGUAGUAAACAAGUCUCUAGAGGCAGAUGCUAUACUGCAGGUACUGCCUAAACACCAACAUUUCAUUUGUAGCCACUGUCUUCUAAAGAGUUGUAAUUUACAGUAGGUUCUUAAAAACAUUUGGCAUUUCUGUGGCACUAAAAAACUGUAGGAACAGCAGUGCUACCGAGCAGUACAAACAGGAGUUGGGCAACCUGGCUCUGGCACAACAAGCAGCAAGCUUUGGCAACCUAAAGCAGGCUGCAGUCCACCACAGUCAGGCCGUGCUGAACACGGGCAGUGCGGACAUGCUGCGUAACAACAGCGUUCCCAAUGGAGUGCAUCAAAGAGUGAGAAGGCAUUCUUUUACCUGGACAACGUUGGGAUACAGCGCAGCACACAACAUGGCUGAGAUCAGCUUGAAGUUCUCCGCAUUUGAAUUUGCCUAUAAAUUAACAGACACAUUAGGUAUCCUACAGGUAGGGCAAAAGACAAAGCCCUGCUUCUGGAAUGAAUCCACUGCUGAAACCGGUUUCCUUUCAUAGCUGCACUGCUGUGUUUUACAGAGAAGGACCAGUUACUGGUCCUGAAGUCUCAGACUAGAUGGAAGUGCUGCCCGAUAGCUGUUUGGAGCAAACUGGACACCAGCUAUCUAAUUGUUCCCAUGUCUGGCUACAAAGCAUGGAAAGAAAGCAUGUUGUUCCAGCACACAGGGAGACCCUGCAGCUAGCAAGCCCUUCCACAUAGCUGAGCCAGGAGAUCUCUGGCUCGGCAGGUACUGCUUUCUGAGGAUUGUCUGCAAUGCUGAAGUAUUUCACUACCUGCUCUGUAAAACAGUUUCAUUCCCAAAAAUAAAGCAUGCACUAAUGCCAACAUUCGGUGCAGUCUGUGAAUCGGACCUGUAUUUUUCCAUCACUUGCUGCUAGCACGUGUGCCAGCCCAACAGCGUUUCGCUUUCUCAGAACACGGUGCUGUGUCAGUCUCACCUCCACACCCGGUCCUGUUCUUGAGCACAUACACUCUGAAGUAACGGAAGCUAAUACCAUACAGGGAAGAAAAAUGUAACAGGCAGGAGGUGGUUUGUUGCAAGGCUGUGUCCAGAAGCCCACCAGGCUAGAGCUAACAGCUGGCAUUCCGGCCGCAUCAAAAGCUGCAGCAUCUGCUCAAAGCACUGACAUGCUGCAGAUUACCUCUUCUCCUGUGGCAUCCAAGACACCAUCGCCUCCCUGGGACCACUUCCUCUCAAUGUCCCUGGCUCUUAACCCCUCCUUCACAAACCCGAUGUCGGAAAGCAGCUCCGUGAACUGUCUUUUCAGACUGGCAAUUUCCUGCAGAACUCUUCCCGAUAAGAAGUUCUCCCUGCAAUAGUUGUAGCUUGCCUGAGAGCCCUCUUUGGUACUUAAACGCCAUCCCUUAUAUGCCUGGAGAAGAGCCAGAUAGUCGCUGUUCCCUACUGCGAAGUCCAACUUCUUUUUGUUUGCUUCUUCCCUUUUAUCCCAUGGGGACACCUAGAAAGGCAGGAGCAGAUUAAUCUCACAGUGUAACUGCUGCUUCUAUUCGCUUUCAAUUUUUACACUAAAUCUGGACAAAACAGGCUGGCUGCACUUAAUGUUCAUUAACUGUAAUAACUGAAUUGUUUCAAUGCUUGCUUAUAAAUACUAUUUGUGUCACUGCUACAUGAUUUUCGCCAUCUGCUUGUAACGACUCUUCUGAUGAGCGCUGCGUUAAGCAUAUAAACAGGGGAGGCUAAAAAGGAGAACAAAAACACUCAGGUGCAGCAUGCUGCAGUUUACAGCAGCAUUCACUGCUGAAUGAAAAUGUACUGCUUUCAAAGCUAGAAACGUGAUUAAGAAUACUUACAAAGGGUGACUUAAAAGCCAGACUGGCUGCUAUUGUGAGUGCAGGAUCCAGGCAGCGGAAGAUGGUGCCAAACAGCAUUAGUUUGCCAAUCCUGACAUCAACAGGCAGGGAAGCCAAGUGAUAUCCCAGAGGAGUGAGCUUUUCAUCUGCAGUUAAUGCUCCUAAGUCUUGUAGACGCAGCUUUGAUGCCCGCAAAGAUUCAGUUCUAGGGGGCUCAAUGAGUCGUGAUAAGACAGAAUGAAGGCUCUGUGCAGAAAACAUCUCCAGAAUCUUAAUUCUUAAGGAGGGGACAAAAAAAUUGAAAGGAAAAGAAGGCAGCUUAGUUCCACAGACAGGAUGCCAAGCAUUUAUCAGAAAUACAGAAAAUCUACUUUCAAGAACACGGCCCCUUGAAGAGGUUCUGUAAAGCGAUUAAACUCAGGAAACUAUAUGAGGAUGGCUUACCUCCACCCAGCCUCACCAUCAGGAAUAACAGAUUCUUAUUUAUCACACGGGGUUUUAAAACGAAGUUUUCUCUGAAAAAAAUAUUUUUUUGUUUGUUUUGUUUAUUUUUUUGUAUAAAGGGGUGCACAGAGCAAGGCAGGAGCAAAAAGGCCUCUUCAUUUAGUAUUGGUGUUACGGCAGUGCUGGAUCUAGGUUGGAGACUUAUUGCACUGUGUUGCCCAGCAGGCAAAAUUCUCUAUGCCCUAUGCAAAGGGAGAAUUUGGCAUAGAGAGAUAAACAUCUCCUGUGGGUGCAGAGCACAGGAAUGCAAGUAUCUUCUCAGGGUGUGAGAGACCUUUUAUCCUAGUGCCAAACAAGAGCCAAGCACUGUGCAAGAAGACAGGGAGACGUGAGACAUGGUAUGAUUAGAUCUCUGGAUGCAGAGGGACUGUGACAGUGAGAUCAAGAGAACCUGAAACCUCCAAAGCGAGGUUCUUGGUUCUGUGAUGCUACUGAGGGAACUAAAUUCCUUAAUAAGGGCAUUUCAGAUGCUUCCUGCUGUGGAGGGAGGACAUUCUACACUGGGUCUUUCAGGUAAUAUAUAAACAACAGCUCACCUUAGACAAAGCUGCUCCAAGGGCACUCUUUGUAUUUCUGGUAACUGCUGUUUUAUGAGCUGAUGGUUAUAGUGAUGGCUACUGAAAAGAUGGAAGCAGACACCUGAGGCUACACGGCCUGCUCGUCCUUUUCUUUGCAGAGCAUUGGCCCUGGACACAAACGUGUCUUCCAGACUUUCCAUUCCUUUGCUCGGGUCAUAUCUGCAGGGGAGCAAGAAAUAGACUUAUAAUGGGUGCAGGGUGAACAAGCAGGAGCUCAAGCAGACAGAUGCUGCCAACCUCUACACGGACCCAAUUCCCACCCCUGCAGCUGGAUCUGGGUGCAGACCGGCCCCCCCACCUCCUAAAAGGUUUCUGCAGAUCAAGCUCCUUCAGGUUCCUCCCAGCUCUUUGCACAGAGCAGGAACGAAUCCCAGUACCUUUUCUCUUUCAUUUUUCCGGAAUCAAUCACAUAGACCACAUCAUCAAUGGUGACAGAUGUUUCUGCAAUGUUGGUGGAGAUGAUGAUUUUGAUAACUCCUGCAGGAGGCCGGAGGAACACAGACUGCUGUUCUUCACUGGACAGCGAAGAAUGAAGUGGAUAAACAACGCACCUGGAGGAAAAGUAUGAGAGUAUGCUCAGCACGUCUCUGCUUUUUUCCUCCUGGGAACAGUCUGCCUGUGUGCACUUUUGCACUGCCAGUACCAGACACUGCACACAGCCAUUCAAAUUUGUGUAAAAUACGGCAAACUUCACUGCCAUAGCAACUUUAAGACAUGUCCUAUAGGAAGGUGGAGAAGUUUGCCGAAGGAACAGGUCUCAGAAUGGAGCUGAAAAAAAAAACCCAACCCUGUCUCCUGUGAACAGCCUAGAACAUUCAAUUUAUAAUGCCACAUUGGAAAAGAUCACUCCAGACAACUUUCUUAAAGGCAUCUGUGUGACUACUGUUUAGUCAAGGAGAACCAGUUACAUCUCCACGUAGCAAUCUGUGAUCAAAUACAACCACAGGAACAGCUGAAGGCUUUUCAGGAGACCUUCUGAAAGACAACAAUAGCUGAGGUGAAGUUUUCAACAGUCCACUGGGCCACGCAGAGCACAAAGUGGAGAAACUCAUCACUAGGAUUUCUGAGAACUACCACAGCUAACAAAAUUGACACCUUUCGAACUUCUGAGAUGAGAAGAAAAACCAAACAGAGCAAGUCAGUAAGAUGGUAGAAUGGGAAUUACCUUGACUGGGUCACAUCACAAACUCACACGUUUAAUAAACUUAAUUUGUCCCUUGAUAAAGGCAGACUUUGUGCUGGAAGCUGCUCUUUUUUUUUUUUAAAUGGGUAAAGACAUCACCUGGGAGCUUUUGUGCCUUACCUCUUGCUGUGCCUGUUAUUAAAAAGGGCGUUAGACUGGAGCUGCUCAUAAAGCAUCUUGAUUUCUGCUAGACCAGGCAAAAAUAUCAACACAGCACCUAAAUAUGUCAAUCAAGAAAAAUAAUAAUCACUCAACAGAAACGACAGCAGGAUACGUUAUUAAUGUGCAAAAGGCCAAGGCAAAACUCCAGCUCUGUUCUGCAGUUCUUGUACAAAAAGCAUACAGGCUGCAACAAUUUCUCACUAAAGACUUUCCCAGGUAGACAAUUCUCAUCUUACCCCAUCCUAUCAGGGGUUUUGUUACUCAGAACUCUGAACACAAAACGUUAUCCUGAGGCUGUCUACAAGUGCACAAUCUCUGUGAAUCGACCUCCAUUCAUCUCAGUGUGAGAUACCUGGGGGGUAUGAAUGUUUGCCAUCAACUAUCCACUCCAGCAAGGCUUCAAUUAAUUCCAGAUUAACUUUGUCCAAGUCCAUGACAGACAUUGUUUUCAACACUGUCUUGUUAACCCCUGAGGAAAAAGAAAGAAACAACACAGUUAAGUUCAUCUCUCAUAAAAUACACGUGCUGGAUACAGCCAACCAGCGUGGCUGCGUAAACAUGCACAACUCAGCCUAAACAGCACCUGGUUUAUACCAGGCAGAGGCAGCUUCACAAGUCACUCUGGCCCAGCUCUUCUUUUCUCAUACCUUAUCAGGGUUCACAUUUGCCCUGUAUAGAACCUAGACCAGGAUUUAUCUGUGAGCAUACUAAUAGUAGGAGGAGCUGAAAGCAGUUGACACAAUAGAAGGAAGGGAUGCCAUCCAAAGGGACCUGGACAGGCUCAAGAAGUGGGCCCACAUGAACCUAAUGAGGUUCCACAAGGCCAAGUGCACAGUGUUGCACUUAGGCAGGAGCAAUCCCAGAUAUGUGUACAGACUGGGAGAAGAACUCACUGAGAGCAGCGCUGCAGAGAAGGACCUGGAGGGUCCUAGUGGACCAAAGCUGGACAUGAGCCAGCUGUGCGCUUGCAGCCACAAGGCCAGCAGUAUCAUGGGCUGCAUCAAUGGAGCGGUGGCAGCAGGGAGAAGGAAGGGAUUGUCCCUUCUUCUCCUAUGAAGAAAGGCUGAGGGAGCUGGGCUUGUUCAGCCUGGAGUAGAGAAGGCUCCAGGGAGAUCUCACUGCAGCCUUCCAGUACUUGAGGGGAGCUUAUAAGCAGGAGGGAGAUCUAUUUUUACAUGAUCUGAUAGUGACAGGACAAGGGAGGAUGGCUUUAAGCUAAAGGGGAUUUUUUCCACUCACAGGACAGCAAAGCCCUGGCACAGCUGCCCAAAGAAGCUGUGGUGCCCCAUCCCUGGAGGCACUCCAGGCCAAGUUGGAUGUGGCCCUGGGCAGUCUAAGCUGGGGGGGGGCAGCCCUGCCCACGGCUGGGGGGUGAAAUAGAUGAUCUUUAAGGUCCCUUUCAACCCAGGCCAUUCUAUGAUUCCUUGAUUUACUGACACCUUUUCAGGCUCUCCCUUCUUCCUUCCAAUGUUUCUUACAUCAACUCAAAAACAGACCAACCCCACUACCCUUUGGAGAUACUAAACCUCCAGCAUGAAUGAGCAAUUGAGAGCAAUGACUCUCACUCACUGCCACUGGGGAGCUCACCAGGAGGGCAUGAAGGUGUGCAGGAAGGAGACAAAGCACAGGGAGUAUUUUGAUGUUGAGAGAGGGGGGAGUUAAUGGGAAGGUCUGCCCACUUCACUAUGCCUUUCACAAUGACAUGUCUUCUCAAGGAAGACUUGUGAUGCUGAAGUGAUCUCGAUCCUCGAGGCAGAUGCAUGCUAAGCAUUAUGUAAAGCUGUUCUAGCAAGAACAGGUAAAGAGAUGAAACUCAAAGUCAACAAGUUAUCCAAAAAUAGAUGGAAAUAAGACAGUAGCUGAAAACCACCCCUUUUCAGAUGCUUAAAAACUGCUUGCAGUCCAGAUGUUUGUUAUAGUUUAAGAAAAUGGAGUUUUUCUUUUUUGUUUUGUUUUUCAAAGCUCACAACGUUUCUCAUCUCAUCUAGAAUGCAGCAAGCUGCUUAACAGCAGAACACUAAAGAAUUCUGAAUUGCACACCUGCAUUCAACAUACAGUAUUAUAUGUUAGCAUAAUAUGUUGGCUUACAAAUCUUAUGUGCAGACCUACUAGAUUUAAGAAGGGGAUCACCUUUGUAUCGUUUAAGUAGCUGCUUCAGAGUUAAUUUUUGAUCUGGGUCUGAAUCCUUGACAGCUGUGUCAGUGUCUUCCAGCAAGCCAGCAUGCCUCAGGUCCUCCUCCACUUCUUCAAAUGCAGUUCUUUUGUGUCUUGCAGUCACUUUGUUUUCUUGCUUUGUCUUGCGCCUGUAGGGACUGCUGUCCUCCAAAACAUACCUGAACAGCAGAAGAACGGACAUCCUUCAAGUGGCACAGAACGAAGCCCAACAGUCUCCAUCCAAUAAUUAGCUACACAGACAGGUUAUCACAGCUAUACAAAGUUCCUCUCAGAUUUGUAUGUAAUUAUAUUUCACACUCGCUGCAAUUCACGUUACUGCUCCAACUCCACUGUAAGGACCAGUAAAGCAGUACUUCUGAAAGGGUGGAAGGGCAUGGCAAAGAGAGCUGUUAAGGCCCAGCACAACUCAAGUUAUUGAGCAACUCUGACUUUAGUGCAAGGGAGUUCCAGAAUAAACUGUGGCCAAGCAAGUGCAAUCACCUGCACCACACCUCUCCCACAUUAACAAGUCAUCAGUGCUGAAAGUUUUAGCCAGCUUUGGGGUGAAGGGAGAGGUGUCCUGCCAUACUGGGAUGAUGGUCUUUUAAAAGCUGUAAUGAGAAACACCUGGACUGCAAAUGUGACCUAAACUAAGAGAGCAGCACAGAGCAACAAUCUGCAUAUAAUUUAAAACAGCUGAUAGCAUUGCUAUCUGGAAUAUCUGAGCUGCUACGACUCUCCAAGUAGCUACAGAUGAUAGCAGGAAUCUUUGUCUCACUUUCUGCUGCAAGGUAGGGCUUACAGAAAGGAAAUCCUACCAUUUUUCACCUUCAGUGAAGGAAUCUAACAACUUUUGCUUGCCAUCAUCUAACCACCACUGAAACAAACAAGGGGUGGAUGAGGAACUAAGUCUGUCAGUACACAAGCACUAACCAACUGUUCAUGGCAAAGUUCAUUUCUUCUUGAGUAUUUACAUGGUAUCUAAUUCAGAAAAGGUUUUGGCACAGUACUGUAGACCCCACAGUGGUAUAAGAAGCACCUUUUACAGUCAGUGCUUUAGCAGAACUCCAGGCCUUCUAGUAAUGGGGAUAUCUGAGAGUCUCUCUCUUUUUUUCAAUUUAUGCACAGGUCUUGUGCAGUCAACAGUGCAACUUUAAGUGUCAAACAUAUCUGAGACAGUCUGGCAAUUUCAUACCUUGUCAUUGCAAUCACAUCUUCCAGGAAAAACUGAUCUACAGGAAACGUUCGACCUAAAAGGGAAUGUAAGAAAGUAAAUCUAUGUGCCACAGAAGUGAGAAAAGACAAAAGAUGGCAAUUAUGUCACACUGCUUAUUAUUUCACAUACUGGCUUCACCACUUUAAUCCCUAAUCCACCUCUGUGACCUAAAAAACCUAACAUGGGUCUCUCAUCUAUAUCCAUCUGUGUUCUUCAACAUUAUUUCUGUCUAAAACAGCAGAUGUUUUCCAAGCGUGGUUUGGUAACACACGUGUAUAUGGUCAGAGAAGGGCUGCUACCCUUACAGGAAGUUUAAGGUGUGGUAAAAGCAGCUCAAGGAAGCACGCCAUGCAUGUCUUGUCAUUUCUGGCUUUUAGGGAGGGAAAUUCUGCUGGUAGAAGGAAAGCAUCAAGAAGACUCAGUUUCCAAGACUUCUCUGAUAGAUCUCAUUAGCUUUUCUGUUUAAGACCUUGUAAUUGCAGUUAUUGUAGAAAUCCACAUCUUGCAACUACAGAAAGUUAGCCCUUUGCUUAGAAGCCGAGUUAAAACCAUCUUUUUCCCAUUCAACAUUGAUGUACCCAGGAAUACAGAAACACUUCACAAGCAGAAAAACCAAACCCAAAUCUCUAAAGCAACGAAUAUUGACAAGAUAAUAAAAAUGACUGUUUUCACCUGGUAUGUUAAUAAUUGGACAGGAGUGAAAGUACUGAGAAAAAAGCUCUGCAUUCAAGGUGGCGCUCAUUAGGAUGAUGCGCAGGUCUGGCCUCUGAACCAUUAUAUCCUUCAAAACCAGCAGCAAGAAGUCACUUUCUUCUGUUCUUUCAUGAACCUCAUCAACAAUAACGUGUGUAAUUCCCUGUAAAGUCAGAUCACCUUCAAGCCUUCUCAGCAGCACACCAGUGGUGCAAUACAGCAGUCUGGUAGCUGAGGACUUUACACUUUCUAGGCGGAUCUGAUAGCCAACAGUAACUCCAACCCUUUCUGUUCUCUCUUUGGCUACACGCUCAGCCACAGAAAUGGCAGAGAUCCUGCGAGGCUGAGUACAGAUGAUGUUUGCAACUGCGUUUGGAGAACCUUGCAAUGAGGCAUCCAAAAUAAACUGAGGAAUCUGAGUGGUUUUCCCACACCUGCAUGACAAAAAAAAAAAAAAAAAAUCAGGCAUCAAUUGAAACACAAUGACAAGAAACAAAACUCAACAAAAGGCAAACACCUUCCAUCCACAUAAACUGACUGCAGUCCACCUGCAACCUGCUUUGUUCCAUUAAUGUCAUACUUCAUAUGAACUCCAUGUAAGAUUGCUGCCAUUGGUCAGGGAUGAAUAAUAACCCUAACCUUUUCUUCCACAUAAGCUUUCAAGCAAUUAAUUUUUGAAAAGGUAUACAAGAGCUGACUUGAAUCAAAUAUGAACUAACGACCUCACAGAGAAAAUCUUUUUGGGCACCAGAGUCUGAAAAGGACAUAAAACUAUUACAGAGUGUCCAAAAGAAGGCUACAAAGAUGGUGAAGAGUCUAGAGGGCAAGGGGUGUGAGGAGUGCUGAGGUCUCUUGGUUUGUUCAGUCCAGAGCAGAGAAGGCUGAGGAGAGGCUGCAUGGCAGCCUAUGCGUUUCUCAGAAGCAGAAGUGGAGGGGCAGCGCUGAUCUCUUUCUGGUGACCAGAGACAGAACCCAAGGGAACAGCAUGGAGCUGUGAAACAGGAGGCUCAGGUUGGAUAUCAUGAAAAGGUUCUUCACCAGAGUGGUUGGGCACUGGAGCAGGCUCCCCAAGGAGGUGCUCAUGGCACCAAAGUGCUGAGUUCAGGAAGCAUGUGGAAGACACUUGCAGACAUAUGGUCUGACUUUCGGUUGGUGCUGUGUAGAGCCAAGAGCUGGACUUGAUGAUCCUUAUGGGUCCCUUCCAACUUGGAAUAUUCUAUGAUUCUGUAUGUUACACAGAAGAAUGUGAAUAGUUUAAUAUAUAAAGUCUCAAAGCACAAUCACACUCUUACCCUGUCAUGCCACUCACAACAAGAACUUGGUGGCUUGUCAGCAAAUCAAGAAUAGUUUCUCUCUCUUGCCAUGCAGGGAGCUUCUGCCUUUCAUGCAACAUGGACUGGAAGCGUCUAGAAGACUGAUACACAACACAAUUAAGAAAGUGGUAUUUGUGGUGUCCUAGAUUCAACAACAUUGGAUGCUAACAGUCCUUUUACCUUAAAGAGACAUCCUGCAUACAAUAAUCUACAUAUUUCUUUCCUUGCAUCAAGCUUUUCUAUUAAAUAGAGCAAAAGGGUAUUUUCUAAAAUAUCAAACUGAUUGUUUGGUUAUUCUCUGAAGUAUUUGAUGUAUCUUAGCAUGCAGAAGCAGUCUGAGCAACCUUCUACCAGGAUAUGCAAUCUGAUAGUCAGAUGAAAGCCCCCAGAUAAAAACUGCUAUUGAUUUUUCCCUUCUAACUGUCUGACAGUGGUGAAAGAGCUUUGCAAGAUUCCUUGCAGCUUGCUCAAAGGCAGCAGAAUCCUAUCAGAUGAACAGGCAGCUUCUGCACUGAGAACAAGAUGCAAUUUGUUUGCAAAAGACCAACACAAAUAAACAAAUCAAUCUAGCCUGCAUCUCUUCUGAAACAUUUUGCAUUGCAUAUUUCAUUCUCUUUCAGGGGGAGUACAUAACUGGUGGCAGACGUUAGAUGCGUUGUUUGCUGAUAUAAUGGAAGAUGAGCAACAUGGUAGUAAGAAAACAAAAGGAGUGAAACAGCAGCCCAUUGUUUUAAGUAUGUAUUUCUCUAAAGCACGCAUGAAAAGAGAUAUCCUGCUUUGUAUACUAUACCUUUUUCAGCCGAAACUGCAUACAGAUUUUAACGUUUUCAUUAUAUGUAGAUUUGGAGUGGACAUCAUACUUUCUAGAAAGCUUUUUCUUGAGGUUCACAUAACUCUCAUUCUCCACAAUGACUUGUUGGGGCUCAUCUUCCUCCUCUUCUUCUGCCACCUCUUCCUCUGGAGGCUCUGACACCGCUGAGGCUUGAAACAGAGAACAUACAUUUGGGUAUUAUCAAGGCAGAUAACUCCAUCGGCACAGUAGAGAGAUGCUUUCCAGUAGUGCUCUCAAUAAAGAACCUUGCUAAAUAGGAGAUGAAGACCUGUAGGACAGUUUUUGACAUGCACUCAGUUCAACACCACCAGCAAACCUCCCGUCAGACAAAGCACAACUUCUCCAGCUGCAUCCCACUUGUCACAACGUACCCCAGCUGUGCUCUGCACCACAGUCUGGUGGCCACAUGGCAAACCUGACCGGCUGCUCCAAAUCACCACAGAACUGCUGGUACGCAGCACAGGACUGGGAUGGCAACACUAGCCUGAACUGAUUAAAACUACACCGUAACAUCACGUGGUAGGCUACUGCCAAGGACUUUUAAGCCAACACUGAAACUGGAGUAGACACCCUCAAAAGUAUUAAGGCUGCAUUUAUCAAAGUUGAGUAUUUUGUAACACAAGGAAGUUUCUUUGAAAGCUCUGAUUUCAAUUUCUGGAACAAAGCUACCUUUCUGUGGAGCUGUGAAGAGUAGGAAUAAUCUGUUCUACUACAAUAAAACGAAACAACAAAAAACAGGCUGACACUAUUCAGGUGCUCCAAAUUAUGCUGCUAUUAUUCUUGCAAGCUCUCUUUAAGAAAGUUUGCCUUAGAAUUGGGAGUUGGAAGGUAAACUAAGCCAUGCAGUUGCUUGUCACCCUGCCAUAAAAGACCAGGGUCACAACUUUCCCCGUGAAAUAUAUCUAGCUGCAUGAGCUUGCAAAAGAAUUAAUAAAAAAAGGUACGUAGAGAACCAUUCUAGACUUGUCUGUAACACUGUGCACAAAAUCCAGCUUUACAAAAUUAGUGGUGAGGAAGGGUAGGUAAUUUUUUUUUCCCCCUAUAAAGGUGUUGCCGUGUUGAUGAGUAGCAGAUGUGCAAUAGCUCACCAAUAACCUUCCCCAUCACCUUCCAAACAUUCUUCUGAACACACACCAGGUCAGUUUCAAGUGAGCUCACACCACAUCUCUCCACGGCAUUUUGUCCACUAUGUUGCAACACAACGUGUUCACACUACCAAGCUGAAGACGUUAGCUGUGCACUCCUUUAACUCACUUGUAGCCAGCAGAAAACCCUUCCCCUGCAGCUUUACUAAGCGACUUCCUGAGGCACAGGCAGAAUAUGGAUCUGGCUCACCACAUGACCUUCAUCUCCAGAAAUAGAUUUGGAACAGAUGCCAUAAUUGUGCUCCCUGCCUUCUUUUUCUUUUUAAGCCCAGAAACCCUAGAUGAAAACGUGGUGUACCUUCUGAUAUUUGAUUUGAACCAGCCGCAGGCUCUGGAUGCAGCUUUACUGGACGUGCUGCCGGAUGGGAAGCAGGAGGAGCACUGUAUUUGUGGUGCGUGUUUUCAAGUAACUCGCCUAUUUCAGAUUCAUCUUCUAAGGAAGUCACUAACGCGUACACUACCGGUUCAUUAGACUCUGCAGCUAUCAAAGCCUUUCCAAAAAGGAAUUCAGCAAUGUGCAGACGACAGGCAAGAGGUAGAUUCUCAUCGGUGGUGUAAAAUGCCACAAGAGGUGCCUGGAGUGGAUACUUGUUUUCUUCAGGAAAUCUUACUUCAAGCUCAUAUAUGGGACCAUCUCUGUUAGAUCUGAGGUGAGAAUCAUCUACGGAGUUCUUGGCUGAUCUCAGUGGGUGGUUUGGAGGGAAUUCAUGUCUGAAUCUGCAUUUUGAACCGAAUUUGCAGCCUCCUUGGAGAUAAAAUUUACAGAUUUCUUUCGAAUUCUGCGUUGCUGUGUCCCUCGCACAACCACCCUUUUGUUUAGAUUUGCUGAGCCUGUUUGUUAGGUAUUCCAGUUCCAAACUAAACGUCCAAACUCUGUUUUGAAUUCUUUCUACAAAUUUUUCUCCGUAGAUUGACCGCAGGGCAAAAGCUUCUUCUUGCCUCUGUUCUAAACAUUCUUCUUGACUGGUCUGAGCAGCUGUUGCAGAAAUCUGCAUCUUUUCUCCGUAUCUCUCAGCAAAGCACUGCAAUAGCAAAUGCUCCAAAGAUGCCCCAAUGUUACCAUUGCAGGAUCUCAGGACAGUCCUACAACGCUCACUGUCAAAACCAUACCUACAGCAACACAGAGACCACAUGGCAACAAGUGAGUGACAGAGAAUGAAGUAAAACAACCACAGAUCUUCUUAACGAGGCUCACAGUAAGGAAUUGUAUACAGCAUGAUAUACUAUUGCUAUUGCCAGAAAAACAAAAGCCCCCAAAGGUCUGUUGUUUUUAAGGCCAUAGUUUAUGAAGCAACUGUCUCGUAUCUCAGAACACAGCACCUAGUAGUUAGAGGAUAUUGCCCACUAUAAAGCUCUUCAGAAAAAGCUGAGCCCUCUCGCAUAGAAAACACUCUCAAAGAAAUAAAACAGUUAAGAAAUGCUCAUAUCUAAGCAAAAUGGAUGACGAAAGCUUACAAAAUUAUACCUACCUAGAAUAAACAUAUAAUAGCAAUGCUGCCUGAGCUUUCCCAGUAUUUGUUUCAUUAUCUUAGAGAAAUAAUAGAAAAUUGUACUAUAAAAACGCUACAACUCUUUAUUUUCAUAAAAACAUUAUUUUAGAUUCAUUCACUUGAGGAUCAAACUUUGAGGAGAUACAAACUUAGAAGUUCUGAACAUAGACUCUCCCUGGAGUCUAUGGAGUGGAAUUCCAAGCACUGAGGGUUUACAGUAUUGAGACUAAUCAUUUACCUCUUCAGCAUACAAAUUAUUCACUGGAAAUAAUCACCUGGAGAGUUUAUGCACAGCAAAUGGAGACACUUCACUUUCCACAAUUUUGUGGGCAGCUGCCUCAGCAGAAGACCUUGGUGUCAUGUCAGAGACUUCCUGAUCUGCUGACCAGCACUGUUCAUCAUCGAGGUAAUCAGGUUCAUCGUCAUCUUCACCAGAACCAGC
Molecule: long non-coding RNA, 17587 nt
Filed under: Gallus gallus (chicken)
Lineage: Eukaryota; Metazoa; Chordata; Aves; Galliformes; Phasianidae
Source: RNAcentral